CACAAGCGGUGGAUGAUGUGGAUUAAUUCGAUGACAACGCGAAAACCUUACCUACCCUUGACAUGUCCGGAAUCCCGAAGAGAUUUGGGAGUGCUCGCAAGAGAACCGGAACACAGGUGCUGCAUGGCUGUCGUCAGCUCGUGUCGUGAGAUGUUGGGUUAAGUCCCGCAACGAGCGCAACCCUUGUCAUUAGUUGCCAUCAUUUGGUUGGGCACUCUAAUGAGACUGCCGGUGACAAACCGGAGGAAGGUGGGGAUGACGUCAAGUCCUCAUGGCCCUUAUGGGUAGGGCUUCACACGUCAUACAAUGGUCGGUACAGAGGGUUGCCAACCCGCGAGGGGGAGCUAAUCCCACAAAGCCGAUCGUAGUCCGGAUCGCAGUCUGCAACUCGACUGCGUGAAGUCGGAAUCGCUAGUAAUCGUGGAUCAGCAUGUCACGGUGAAUACGUUCCCGGGUCUU
Molecule: ribosomal RNA, 459 nt
Filed under: uncultured Rhodocyclaceae bacterium
Lineage: Bacteria; Pseudomonadati; Pseudomonadota; Betaproteobacteria; Rhodocyclales; Rhodocyclaceae
Description: bacterial SSU rRNA
Rfam family: Bacterial small subunit ribosomal RNA
Source: RNAcentral